ACAGAGAAAAUGUCAGCACUUGCCCUUUUAAUCUUGACAGCAAUAGCUUUUGUCACAGAUUGCAGUGGCCAGACUCUGACGCAGCCGACUUCAGCAUCUGUCCAGCCAGGUCAGACCGUCUCCCUCUCAUGUAAGGCCAGUACCUCCAUUAGCUAUUACCUGCACUGGUACCAUCAGAUAGCUGGCCAGGCUCCCAAACUGCUGAUAUAUUCUGCCACAAACCGUGAGUCUGGGAUUCCUGAGAGGUUCAGUGGUCAGUAUUCUGGGACCGAUUUCACCUUACAAAUAAGUGGAGUUCAGCCUGAAGACGCCGGCUAUUACUACUGUCAGCAGAGUAACAACUGGCCUCUCACAGUGAUAAAGAGCUGA
Molecule: non-coding RNA, 369 nt
Organism: Polypterus senegalus (gray bichir)
Lineage: Eukaryota; Metazoa; Chordata; Cladistia; Polypteriformes; Polypteridae
Source: the annotation of a RefSeq genome assembly